Molecule: ribosomal RNA, 497 nt
Filed under: uncultured bacterium
Lineage: Bacteria
Description: partial 16S ribosomal RNA
Rfam family: Bacterial small subunit ribosomal RNA
Source: RNAcentral
GAUGAACGCUGGCGGCGUGCCUAAUACAUGCAAGUCGAGCGAACAGAUGAGGAGCUUGCUCCUCUGACGUUAGCGGCGGACGGGUGAGUAACACGUGGAUAACCUACCUAUAAGACUGGGAUAACUUCGGGAAACCGGAGCUAAUACCGGAUAAUAUAUUGAACCGCAUGGUUCAUUAGUGAAAGACGGUUUUGCUGUCACUAAUAGAUGGUUCCGCGCCGCAUUAGCUAGUUGGUAAGGUAACGGCUUACCAAGGCAACGAUGCGUAGCCGACCUGAGAGGGUGAUCGGCCACACUGGAACUGAGACACGGUCCAGACGCCUACGGGAGGCAGCAGUAGGGAAUCUGCCGCAAUGGGCGAAAGCCUGACGGAGCAACGCCGCGUGAGUGAUGAAGGUCUUCGGAUCGUAAAACUCUGUUAUUAGGGAAGAACAAAUGUGUAAGUAACUAUGCACGUCUUGACGGUACCUAAUCAGAAAGCCACGGCUAACUACGUG